This 237-nucleotide ribosomal RNA is filed under the name uncultured bacterium. Its description in RNAcentral is "partial 16S ribosomal RNA". It matches the Rfam family "Bacterial small subunit ribosomal RNA", at positions 118 to 347 of the family's 1533-position model. The record is from RNAcentral.
UGAGCAAUCUGCCCUUCUCUUCGGAAUAAGCGUUGGAAACGACGUCUAAUGCCGAAUACGACCUCCUUUCGCAUGAUCGGAGGUGGAAAGCUCCGGCGGAGAAGGAUGAGCUCGCGGCCUAUCAGCUAGUUGGUGUGGGUAAUGGCCCACCAAGGCGACGACGGGUAGCCGGCCUGGAGAGGGUGACCGGCCACACUGGGACUGAGACACGGCCCAGACCUCCGUACGGGAGNAGCG